Molecule: ribosomal RNA, 429 nt
Filed under: Gemmatimonadota bacterium
Lineage: Bacteria; Pseudomonadati; Gemmatimonadota
Description: Gemmatimonadetes bacterium partial 16S ribosomal RNA
Rfam family: Bacterial small subunit ribosomal RNA
Source: RNAcentral
UAGGGAAUCUUCGGCAAUGGACGAAAGUCUGACCGAGCAACGCCGCGUGAGUGAAGAAGGUUUUCGGAUCGUAAAACUCUGUUGUUAGAGAAGAACAAGGACGUUAGUAACUGAACGUCCCCUGACGGUAUCUAACCAGAAAGCCACGGCUAACUACGUGCCAGCAGCCGCGGUAAUACGUAGGUGGCAAGCGUUGUCCGGAUUUAUUGGGCGUAAAGCGAGCGCAGGCGGUUUCUUAAGUCUGAUGUGAAAGCCCCCGGCUCAACCGGGGAGGGUCAUUGGAAACUGGGAGACUUGAGUGCAGAAGGGGAGAGUGGAAUUCCAUGUGUAGCGGUGAAAUGCGUAGAUAUGUGGGGGAACACCAGUGGCGAGGGCGGCUCUCUGGUCUGUAACUGACGCUGAGGCUCGAAAGCGUGGGGAGCAAACAGG